RNAcentral lists this ribosomal RNA (253 nucleotides) under uncultured bacterium. Its description in RNAcentral is "partial 16S ribosomal RNA". It matches the Rfam family "Bacterial small subunit ribosomal RNA", at positions 524 to 776 of the family's 1533-position model. The record is from RNAcentral.
UACGGAGGGGGCUAGCGUUGUUCGGAAUUACUGGGCGUAAAGCGCACGUAGGCGGCUUUGUAAGUUAGAGGUGAAAGCCCGGGGCUCAACUCCGGAAUUGCCUUUAAGACUGCAUCGCUAGAAUUGUGGAGAGGUAAGUGGAAUUCCGAGUGUAGAGGUGAAAUUCGUAGAUAUCGGGAGGAACACCGGUGGCGAAGGCGGCGACCUGGGUCGAUACUGACGCUGAGGUGCGAAAGCGUGGGGAGCAAACAGG